This 1035-nucleotide ribosomal RNA is filed under the name Xylolentia aseptata. Its description in RNAcentral is "SSU rRNA". It matches the Rfam family "Eukaryotic small subunit ribosomal RNA", at positions 69 to 1114 of the family's 1831-position model. The record is from RNAcentral. Lineage: Eukaryota; Fungi; Ascomycota; Sordariomycetes; Rhamphoriaceae.
GCAAUUAUACCGCGAAACUGCGAAUGGCUCAUUAAAUCAGUUAUCGUUUAUUUGAUAGUACCUUACUACUUGGAUAACCGUGGUAAUUCUAGAGCUAAUACAUGCUAAAAAUCCCGACUUCGGAAGGGAUGUAUUUAUUAGAUUAAAAACCAAUGCCCUCUGGGCUCACUGGUGAUUCAUAAUAACUUCUCGAAUCGCACGGCCUUGCGCCGGCGAUGGUUCAUUCAAAUUUCUGCCCUAUCAACUUUCGACGGCUGGGUCUUGGCCAGCCAUGGUGACAACGGGUAACGGAGGGUUAGGGCUCGACCCCGGAGAAGGAGCCUGAGAAACGGCUACUACAUCCAAGGAAGGCAGCAGGCGCGCAAAUUACCCAAUCCCGAUUCGGGGAGGUAGUGACAAUAAAUACUGAUACAGGGCUCUUUUGGGUCUUGUAAUUGGAAUGAGUACAAUUUAAAUCCCUUAACGAGGAACAAUUGGAGGGCAAGUCUGGUGCCAGCAGCCGCGGUAAUUCCAGCUCCAAUAGCGUAUAUUAAAGUUGUUGCGGUUAAAAAGCUCGUAGUUGAAACUUGGGCCUAGCUGGCCGGUCCGCCUCACCGCGUGCACUGGUCCGGCCGGGCCUUUCCCUCUGGGGAACCGCAUGCCCUUCACUGGGCGUGUCGGGGAACCAGGACUUUUACUUUGAAAAAAUUAGAGUGUUCAAAGCAGGCCUAUGCUCGAAUACAUUAGCAUGGAAUAAUAGAAUAGGACGUUGCGGUUCUAUUUUGUUGGUUUCUAGGACCGCCGUAAUGAUUAAUAGGGACAGUCGGGGGCAUCAGUAUUCAAUUGUCAGAGGUGAAAUUCUUGGAUUUAUUGAAGACUAACUACUGCGAAAGCAUUUGCCAAGGAUGUUUUCAUUAAUCAGGAACGAAAGUUAGGGGAUCGAAGACGAUCAGAUACCGUCGUAGUCUUAACCAUAAACUAUGCGAACUAGGGAUCGGACGAUGUUAUUUUUUGACUCGUUCGGCACCUUACACGAAAGUACAAGUUUCUGCGUCC